GUAGAGAGAAGCUUGCUUCUCUUGAGAGCGGCGGACGGGUGAGUAAUGCCUAGGAAUCUGCCUGGUAGUGGGGGAUAACGUUCGGAAACGAACGCUAAUACCGCAUACGUCCUACGGGAGAAAGCAGGGGACCUUCGGGCCUUGCGCUAUCAGAUGAGCCUAGGUCGGAUUAGCUAGUUGGUGAGGUAAUGGCUCACCAAGGCGACGAUCCGUAACUGGUCUGAGAGGAUGAUCAGUCACACUGGAACUGAGACACGGUCCAGACUCCUACGGGAGGCAGCAGUGGGGAAUAUUGGACAAUGGGCGAAAGCCUGAUCCAGCCAUGCCGCGUGUGUGAAAAAGGUCUUCGGAUUGUAAAGCACUUUAAGUUGGGAGGAAGGGCCAUUACCUAAUACGUGAUGGUUUUGACGUUACCGACAGAAUAAACACCGGCUAACUCUGUGCCAGCAGCCGCGGUAAUACAAAGGGUGCAAGCGUUAAUCGGAAUUACUGGGCGUAAAGCGCGCGUACGUGGUUUGUUAAGUUGCAUGUGAAAACCCCUGGCUCUUCCUGGGAACUGCAUUCACCACUGAGAAGCUAGAGUAUGGUAGAGGGUGGUGGAAUUUCAUGUGUAGGGGUGCAAUGCGUAUAUAUAACAUGGAACACGGGUGGCACUAGCGGGCAACUGGACUGAGACUGAUCCUCACGUGUGCACACCUGGGUGGCAAACACGAUCAGAGAGGCUGCCUUCGCACGCCGUACUCCUGUCAUCUCUACGUUGUGAGCCGUGACUCGUGAUGUCGCAGCUCCCGCAACAAAAUGACGUUGGCGAUUACGGACGCAGUCCAAGGUCAACGAGUGUCUGUGUCGAUUACACAGACAUGGGGCUUGUUGCUCCAACGAAACAACAUACAUGUCUCGCUCUUGACCGUCGACUGCAAAUGCGUGGUACUUCGGAAGUGAGCACGAUGCGCAGUUAGUCAGCUCGUCCGUCAAGUCAGAUGAUCACAAGACCUACUCCAGCCGUAUGUGUAGUAGGUCGCUUGAAUUCGAAGGGCCAGAAGGUCAGCUUAACUUGCUGCAUGCUCUGGCAACAGUGCAGCU
RNAcentral lists this ribosomal RNA (1083 nucleotides) under Pseudomonas sp. PGA3. RNAcentral describes it as "bacterial SSU rRNA". The stretch from base 1 to 895 matches the Rfam family "Bacterial small subunit ribosomal RNA". Lineage: Bacteria; Pseudomonadati; Pseudomonadota; Gammaproteobacteria; Pseudomonadales; Pseudomonadaceae. The record is from RNAcentral.